UCGGCCCUCCAAGAUGGUCGCCGGCGUACGUGGGCCGCUCACGCGGUGGACGUGCGUCGGAGGAAAGUCCGGACAUCGCAGGGCUGGGUGGUCGGUAACGCCGACCGGGGGUAACCCUAGGGCCAGUGCAACAGAAAACAGACCGCCGGGCGAGCCUUCGGGCCUGCCCGGUAAGGGUGAAAAGGUGAGGUAAGAGCUCACCGGGGCGGUGGUGACAUCGCCUGUCUUUGCAAACCCCACCCGAUGCAAGGCGAACGGGAGUCGAGGGUCUUCGGACCCUCCAGGGCGGCCCGCCCUGCCGACUCCAGGUAGCCGCUCGAGCUGCAGAGCAAUCUGUGGCCUAGAUGAAUGACCAUCGCCGCUUCUGGGCGCAAGCCCGGAGGAGGGGACAAAAUCCGGCUUACUAGGAGGACCGAGCGU
RNAcentral lists this RNase P RNA (420 nucleotides) under Persicimonas caeni. RNAcentral's name for it is "Bacterial RNase P class A". It matches the Rfam family "Bacterial RNase P class A". Rfam says of the family: Ribonuclease P (RNase P) is a ubiquitous endoribonuclease, found in archaea, bacteria and eukarya as well as chloroplasts and mitochondria. Its best characterised activity is the generation of mature 5'-ends of tRNAs by cleaving the 5'-leader elements of precursor-tRNAs. Cellular RNase Ps are ribonucleoproteins. Lineage: Bacteria; Deltaproteobacteria; Bradymonadales; Bradymonadaceae. The record is from Rfam by way of RNAcentral.